GCGCUCGUAGCUCAGUUGGAUAGAGCGACAGCCUCCUAAGCUGUAGGCCCCGUGUUCGAUUCACGGCGGGCGCACCA
This 77-nucleotide transfer RNA is filed under the name Desulfovibrionaceae bacterium. RNAcentral's name for it is "tRNA-Arg". It matches the Rfam family "tRNA". Rfam says of the family: Transfer RNA (tRNA) molecules are approximately 80 nucleotides in length. Their secondary structure includes four short double-helical elements and three loops (D, anti-codon, and T loops). RNAcentral also lists the same sequence under 1 other name. Lineage: Bacteria; Pseudomonadati; Thermodesulfobacteriota; Desulfovibrionia; Desulfovibrionales; Desulfovibrionaceae. The record is from RNAcentral.